RNAcentral lists this ribosomal RNA (541 nucleotides) under Raffaelea sp. Its description in RNAcentral is "partial large subunit ribosomal RNA". It matches the Rfam family "Eukaryotic large subunit ribosomal RNA", at positions 44 to 592 of the family's 3401-position model. The record is from RNAcentral. Lineage: Eukaryota; Fungi; Ascomycota; Sordariomycetes; Ophiostomatales; Ophiostomataceae.
CAAUAAGCGGAGGAAAAGAAACCAACAGGGAUUGCCUCAGUAGCGGCGAGCGAAGCGGCAACAGCUCAAAUUUGAAAUCUGGCUCUCGGGCCCGAGUUGUACUUUGGAGAGGAUGCUUCUGGCGCGGCGCCGUCCGAGUUCCCUGGAACGGGACGCCGGAGAGGGUGAGAGCCCCGUACGGGCGGACGCCAAGCCUCUGCGAAGCUCCUUCGACGAGUCGAGUAGUUUGGGAAUGCUGCUCAAAAUGGGAGGUAAAUUUCUUCUAAAGCUAAAUACCGGCCAGAGACCGAUAGCGCACAAGUAGAGUGAUCGAAAGAUGAAAAGCACUUUGAAAAGAGGGUUAAACAGUACGUGAAAUUGUUGAAAGGGAAGCGCCUGUGGCCAGACUUGCGCCCCGCGGACCACCCGGCGCCUCGGCGCCGGGGCAUGCCAGCGGGGUGCAGGCCAGCAUCGGCUCUCUCGGGGGGACAAAGGCCGCGGGAACGUAGCGCCCUCGUGGCGUGUUAUAGCCCGCGGUGCCAUGCCCCCGGGGGGGCCGAGG